GGCUGGUCCGAUGGCAGUGGAAAUCGAAAGCAUUUGCAACAGUCUACGUCUCUUCUCUACUCCCUUCACUGCCAACCUUGACUAGCUUUUU
Non-coding RNA from Oryzias latipes (Japanese medaka), 91 nucleotides. The record is from Rfam. Lineage: Eukaryota; Metazoa; Chordata; Actinopteri; Beloniformes; Adrianichthyidae.